RNAcentral lists this ribosomal RNA (253 nucleotides) under uncultured bacterium. Its description in RNAcentral is "partial 16S ribosomal RNA". It matches the Rfam family "Bacterial small subunit ribosomal RNA", at positions 524 to 776 of the family's 1533-position model. The record is from RNAcentral.
UACGAAGGGAGCUAGCGUUGUUCGGAAUUACUGGGCGUAAAGCGCACGUAGGCGGCUUUGUAAGUUAGAGGUGAAAGCCCAGGGCUCAACCCUGGAAUUGCCUUUAAGACUGCAUCGCUUGAAUCAUGGAGAGGUGAGUGGAAUUCCGAGUGUAGAGGUGAAAUUCGUAGAUAUUCGGAAGAACACCAGUGGCGAAGGCGACUCACUGGACAUGUAUUGACGCUGAGGUGCGAAAGCGUGGGGAGCAAACAGG